GUUGCUUUGGCUGAGUGGUUAAGGCGUGUGCCUGCUAAGUACAUGGGGUUUCCCCCGCGAGAGUUUGAAUCUCUCAGGUAAUG
Molecule: transfer RNA, 83 nt
Filed under: Ipomoea nil (Japanese morning glory)
Lineage: Eukaryota; Viridiplantae; Streptophyta; Magnoliopsida; Solanales; Convolvulaceae
Rfam family: tRNA
About the family: Transfer RNA (tRNA) molecules are approximately 80 nucleotides in length. Their secondary structure includes four short double-helical elements and three loops (D, anti-codon, and T loops).
Source: Rfam by way of RNAcentral